UACGUUCGACGGGAUUCAGAGGUGGUACUGCUCUUCUUCUAUGCCCCUUGGUGUGGACAGUCCAUCGCUGCCAGGGCAGAAAUUGAGCAAGCAGCAAGUCGGCUUUCAGAUCAGGUGUUGUUUGUGGCAAUUAACUGUUGGUGGAACCAGGGGAAAUGCAGAAAACAGAAACACUUCUUUUAUUUUCCUGUAAUAUAUCUGUAUCAUCGGAGUUUUGGACCAAUCGAAUACAAAGGCCCCAUGAGUGCUGUUUACAUUGAGAAGUUUGUCCGCCGGGUGAUGAAACCACUUCUCUACAUCCCAUCUCAAUCAGAAUUACUAGAUUUUCUCUCAAACUACGAGAGGCCUGGCGAGGUGCUUCAUGCCUGCAACCCCAGCACUUGGGAGGCCAAGGUGGAGGAUUGCUGGAAGCCAGGAAUUCAAGACCAGCCUGGGCAACAAAAUUAGACCCUGUGUCUAUAACAAAAUGUUAAAAAUUAGCCAAGCAUGGUGGCACAUGCCUGUAGUCCCAGCUCUACUUGGGAGGCUGAGGCUGAAGGAUUGCUUGAGUCCAGGAGUUUGGCGUUACAGUGAGCUAUGAUGGCACCACUGCACUCCAUCCUGGGCAACAGAGUGAGACUCCAUCUCAAAACAAAACAAAGACAAGACUCUGAGACCAGAAACAAUUUCUAGGACAACAGUUUUGCCUUUAAGUUACUUAAACAUCACAGAAAGCCAUUAAAGGCCUGGAGUACUCGGGUACUUUGAGUUCAGUGGCUCACCCCAGCCUCCUGGUUAUUUGACCUUCUUCACCUCAGCAUUACAUUCAUUAAAGAAAGAUUACCUAGGAACAGUACGAUUUGGGGUUAUCACAAAUAAACAUCUUGCGAAACUGGUAUCCUUAGUACACUCUGGAAGUGUGUAUUUACAUAGACAUUUCAACACAUCACUUGUCUUCCCCAGGGAGGUCCUGAACUACACAGCUGAGAACAUCUGUAAGUGGGCCUUAGAAAACCAGGAGACGCUCUUUCGGUGGCUGCGGCCACACGGAGGCAAGAGUCUCCUGCUGAAUAACGAGCUGAAGAAAGGACCAGCGCUGUUUCUGUUCAUACCUUUUAAUCCCCUGGCCGAAAGUCAUCCUUUA
RNAcentral lists this long non-coding RNA (1123 nucleotides) under Homo sapiens (human). RNAcentral's name for it is "HSALNT0227753". The record is from RNAcentral. Lineage: Eukaryota; Metazoa; Chordata; Mammalia; Primates; Hominidae.